AACAACAUACUUGAUUCAAAAAAGGUUUAAAAAGAGGCAAUUCACAUAAUACCUUAGAAGAUGUUUGGAAAGUUUCACUCAAGUUUCAAAGACACUGAAGUCAAAAAGAAGCAGCGUCAACAUUACAGCUUGAUAUUGUAGUUUUUUGUAACGGUGCUAUGCUUCCUCCAAGCCGGUAGAUGGAAAUGAUGCAUCGUUUGAACUACCUGAGUUUUGAAGACACUCUUCAAGCGUAUUUUGCUGGCAUGCACACAGACAGCUCUUCUCCUGUUUUACGUUGUGACAACAUUUUCACAUUGAAGAUUUAAAGAUCUGUGUUCUGCAGCAACAACUCGUUCGUGUGCAACUUAAGGUCCCAACAAAGGCUUAAACCAUGUCGACAGUCUUCUCGUUCCAGACACAGCUCGUCUCCAUCAUGGACGCGUUAUCCAAAACCGCUGUAAUGGAAAUAAGCAAACUGGUCGAGAUAGAGUCCAAGAUGCUAAAAAUUGAGAUAACUCGAGGGCGGAACGAAAUCUCCUCGCUCACAGAGAAACUGCAGCUUAUGGAGAAACUGCUGUAUAUAGCGCAGGGCAGCAGACAGGACACAGCAGUAUGCGCAGUGGUGAGGGACGAUUCGGAGGAAGGGACUGUGGAGCCUGACAGGACAAGACCUGCCAUUAAAAGUGAAAGUCCAUGGGAAAGUUCCUCUUCUGAGAUAAGCAAGUGGCAUCAUCCUCAAGAGGAGGAGCAUGCCAUAGCUGAACUCCCAAACCAACAGAGAGAUCAGCCAGAACUGAUAGUGGUAAAAGAAGAGCCAUUAGAGGUGGACAACAUAGACUGUGAACCUGAUAGGACAAGUGAACACAGAAGGGAAGAAUUCAAAGACACCCACAAGGGUCCAGAAGUGAUGCAGCGUACAAAACCCAUGGCAGAUCGUCAGCAGCCUCUGUUUACUGACAGCUUUGUGACCUUGAGCAAUCAGCCGUCUUUUGCUGGACCAGGGAGGAGGGAAACAUUGUGGAAUCCACAGCUUACACCUGCACACACAAACCUAGUUGCUGGGAAAAGCUUUGUCGAAAAUGUUGCCACCCAAAGCUUAAGUGUGCUCAGAAAUAUGAAACUUCACAAUUUGAGGAACUCAGCUGCUAAGAGGUUUGGAUGCGUGCAGUGCGGGAAGAACUUCAGAUGCUUUAGCCAGCUAGAAAUACACCAGAGAAGUCACACAGGAGAAAAACCGUUCAGGUGCACGCUGUGUGGAAAGAGAUAUGCACAAAAAGGACAUCUGUACACACACCAGCGCACACACACUGGGGAGAAACCCUACCGCUGUCCUAUUUGUGGAAAAGGCUUUAUUCAGAAAUGCACUCUUGAUAUGCAUCAGCGUACACACACCGGAGAAAAACCUUUUGUUUGUAUGAAGUGUGGCAAGGGCUUUACAAAGAACUGUAAUCUGAAAAAACACCUUACAGUACAUCUAGACCCUAGUUUAAACAUGUAUGGUAGGGAAUCUGGUGUACCAACAUUUAGUGGGACAAUCAUAAAUGGAACUACCUAAAACAGCCAGUCAAUAAAGAAACUGCUGUUUGAUUGAAAUAAUGUGUGCAUAAUAAAGUUAUAUUCUUUCCAGAUUUGAGUGUGUAUCACCUGCUUUAACAAUACAAAGGUACAAUGUAUCUGCUGUCUACCGCUCAUAUAUCAAAGUUCCCCUUUCGAACUGUGCAAACUUGAUAUUGUGCUACUGCUGUAACAGCACAGUUUAUGUGAACUGACUUUGAAAUCUGAUUACUGAGACUAUGUUGUGACAUGAUCUGGUUUAUAACUGGAUACUUUAUAAAGUUCCAGUAUUCUACCUUGUCUGCAUUGGCGCUUGUGUAAACACAAUUUUCAGGUUAGAUUUCUAUCGUUGACGAUGAUAAUAAUUAAAGAUAAUGUGCUUUUGGAUCAAAUACGAACUGAACAAAUAACUAUGCUGCUAAAUGAUAAAAUCUUGCUGUAAAAGCUGCUCUAAAAAUACAGUUAUUGGUAUUACUGUAUUAUUUAUUGUCGCUACACUCAGAAUUAUUUGUACAUAUUGUUAUUAACAAUAACAGUAAUGCUGACAGCCAGUUACCCACAAUGUGGCGUAGUACUGCAGUUCCUCCUUGUGGCCGCUGGAGGGCAGUGAACAUUCACGUUUGUAAACACUACAAGGCUGUUUCAAGAAAGGGUCCGCCUCUAAUCUAUUUAGUAUUCAUUGUUUAAGACAGAAUUGGUGGCAGUACUAACAUUACUUUUUUAUCUGUCAUUCCCACUGAACUAUAAAACGUUUCAGUCUCUAGCUCAGUCAAAUAACGUUUUUUUCAGAUUGUGCUGCCUUCAGGUGCUCCUCGUACAUUUCGAAAUGCAAGAACAAUAUCUUCCCACAAUGCAUCGCGGCACAGCUAUAUCAUAUUUGAUGGAAGCGUAAAGCCGCUCCUCUAGGAAUAUUGCAAAUAAUUUGGAAAUAUUCAGGCUCCCUUUCAAGAUGAUGUGCGACACCACCAACCGGAGUUUUCGGGCGCAGUUAGCCGCUGUCCUGGACAAGCUAACGAAGACGGCUCUGGUUGAAAUAGGGAACCUGGCAGAUGAAUGCUCCUCUGUCCUUCACACCGAGAUCUCCCUGCACAAAACGGAGAAUGAGGCGUUGAAGAAGAGGUGCUACUUCCUGGAGGUCCAACUGAGAGCAGCCAGGGAGGCACAGACCUAUCCUUCCCAUGUUAACAGUGUCAGCCGCAGACAGCCUGCAGACCAGCCGCAGCUUGCUCCAGCCAUUGAGGGAGUUUAUGGAAAAGACUGGUGCAUGGAUCUGUGGAGAGAAGAAAAAGCCCUAAGUCAAAGAAAAGCAACAUUGGCGCCUGCUGCAAUGACAAGCAUGGGGCCCCUGGCAAUCGACUUAAUGGAGAGGGAACCUGAUCUGAGCUUUGUCAAAGAGGAGACGUAUGAAGAUCAUCCCAUUAGCCAGAUGAGGCUCACAGAUAACAGAAAAAUUGGUGGAAUUUUUGAUGAGGACAGCAUCCUUCAUAGAUCUGUUGAUGAGCUGCAGCUUAACUCAGGGGAAUUAAACAGCUACCCCAUGACAACUGACAUUCAAACUCAACAACGCACACAGCCAACAUUAAUGGACAAGUUGAUAGAUGAUGCAACAAUGAGCGCAAUGGUUGACAACACAAGUUCUUCUUCAGCUACCGCCGAGUACUCAGGACUAUUCAAACAAUAUCCACAUGAA
Eleginops maclovinus (Patagonian blennie) is the source of this 3226-nucleotide RNA transcript. It is a transcript of the gene named zinc finger protein 572-like, with no coding region annotated. The record is from RefSeq and is a predicted model, not a curated record. Lineage: Eukaryota; Metazoa; Chordata; Actinopteri; Perciformes; Eleginopidae. The transcript is spliced from 7 exons.